CCUACGGGUGGCAGCAGUAGGGAAUAUUGCGCAAUGGGGGAAACCCUGAAGCAGCAACGCCGCGUGGAGGAUGAAGGCUUUCGGAUUGUAAACUCCUUUUGUUAGAGAAGAUAAUGACGGUAUCUAACGAAUAAGCACCGGCUAACGCCGGGCCAGCAGCCGCGGUAAUACGGAGGGUGCAAGCGUUACUCGGAAUCACUGGGCGUAAAGAGCGCGUAGGCGGGAUAGCAAGUCAGAUGUGAAAUCCUAGGGCUUAACCAUAGAACUGCAUUUGAAACUGUUAUUCUAGAGUAUGGGAGAGGUAGGUGGAAUUCUUGGUGUAGGGGUAAAAUCCGUAGAGAUCAAGAGGAAUACUCAUUGCGAAGGCGACCUGCUAGAACAUAACUGACGCUGAUGCGCGAAAGCGUGGGGAGCAAACAGGAUUAGAUACCCCGGUAGUC
RNAcentral lists this ribosomal RNA (440 nucleotides) under uncultured bacterium. RNAcentral describes it as "partial 16S ribosomal RNA". It matches the Rfam family "Bacterial small subunit ribosomal RNA", at positions 338 to 795 of the family's 1533-position model. The record is from RNAcentral.